This is a long non-coding RNA of Passer domesticus (house sparrow), 4260 nucleotides long. RefSeq lists it as uncharacterized. The transcript is spliced from 2 exons. Lineage: Eukaryota; Metazoa; Chordata; Aves; Passeriformes; Passeridae. The record is from RefSeq and is a predicted model, not a curated record.
GGCUCCCUCCAGAGGCCCGCGGGGACCGAGGUUCCCUCCAGAGGCCCCGCGGGGACCGAGCCCGCCCGCGGCCCCUCCCCUCCCGGGCCACCCCUCGCAGGGCAGGCGAGGGCUCGGCCCGGGGCCCCGGGGAGCCGGACCUGGUGCCUGGGUGAGGCACAGCCCUACUUUGGCACUUUCCAGCGUUGCACCAUUUUCUUGCUUUUGGCAGAGGAUUGCUGAGCCCUCUCGAGCGUUAGUGGUUGAGGGCUUUUGCGGCUCAUGAAGGAUAUAGAUCUAUUGCUUCACAGGUAAAAGACAGCAUCUUCCCUUCAAAGAAGCUUUACAAGACUAAAUGAACUAUUUGAUUAUGUAGCAAUAUCUGUGAGCAUCUUGCUUUGCCUCAGGAUGCAGACAGAUGCUUACACUGGACAAAACCCAGGAAUUAAAGUAUGCAAUGAAAGAAAAAUUAGGUGGUAAGACUCUGAUCAUGCUACAAAUAAUGGGUUUUCUACUGAUUUUUUGAAAUCUGGAUUUCAUACAGGGAAAUACUGAAUUCAGUUCUGAACAGAAAAAAAGAUGUCUUGAGUUAAUUUAGUACUGUAUCCAGUAGCAUCCGUGGGCAAAAUGGUUGUGAUCCUCUUCUCAGCCACACAGGUGUAAGUCAGCCAUACAUCUGUCUAAACUCAUAAAGUUGCAAUAGUUUUCACAAAAGGAAAAUCAAGUGCUUCAAUGCGUUUUCCCCCAACCUCUUAAUUAAGUUUAGUUUUCACUGAUAAGUUUCUUUACAAGCAGGUCAAACCAUAACUAAUGCUGCAUGCAUGCACAAGCAUGCAGUACUGCUGCCUGGUUCACUAUCUGUUCUAGUUUUCAUGCACUAUAAUGAAUACAAAUAAUUAUCUCUGUUUAGCUUUUUUCUUGCAGUAACACUUAAGAUAUCACCUGAUUUUUCUUCCCAGGCAUCCUAGAAAAAGGUGAAGGAGAAAGGCUUGAAACUAGAUUUUCAUAAAGUAAUAAGAACAAAAACCAAACAUAGACUUGCUAAUUUCAAUCCUGCUAAGUCCUGAGUGUUUCUGGGGGGACAUGAUCACUCUUAAACCAAACUGACUCCAGCCUGAAAUGCUGAGGAAUGUGCUGCUGCUCAGCUUGAGGGGAACCAUGAAAAAGAGACUGAUACCAUGACUUAGGUAAAGGCUGCACUGAUACUGAUUAAAGAUUGGAUCAGGAGGCAAAUGAGAAUGAAAGAUCUUACUGGUAAACAAGUGCAGUGCAUGGAUUUGUGUUCCUGUCCAGAUACCGUGCGGGGGUAGUAUUUGUCUCUGACCUUCUCCAAAAUGAAUGGUUUAUUUGUAUUGCAUUUAUUUUUACUUUUUCCUGGGUGAUAAUGUACGCAAUCAGAAAUUUUGAAGACCACAUGUGUUUCAGGCAUAUGGGGAAGAACAAACAACUCAGAGCUCCUUCAUGUUAUGUAACAUAGGCAGAUGAUAAUAUAGACAUGAGUUUUGACAGGCUUGAAAUUAUGUAAGCUACACACAUACUCUGGAUUUUAAUCCUCUGGCUUUGCACUCUUCAUUCACAUGAGCAAAUUCCACCAGAGUCAGUAAGACUACUCUCACAUAAAUCACAUAUAUAAGGGAUACCUUGAAGAACCAAGUCCUAAAUUAUGUGUAUUAAAUAAAACUCUAAAAAUACAUUUAGAAAUAACCUUAAAGUGGGUAAUACUAAAACUGGGUAAACUCAUUCUUUUCCCUUUAUAUUUCCAGGCCUAGGCAGUUCUGUGAAUUAAGUUUUUUCCUCACUUAUUUUUUCCCUCAGAUCCUCUCUCUGUGUUAUUAAUAGAGGGAAGGCAGAAUUUAUGAAGUCACAAGGAGCCCUACAGAGAUAAAUCUGUGUAACUGUACAAUGGAAACUGACAGCUUUUGCAUGCGUAUUUCAGUUGCAUGUUUUCCAAAAUCUGAUCAGAGGUAUCAGUAUAUGAGUAUAUGCAAAAACACUCUCAUCUCUUCAAAAUUUCUUCUAAAUGCUUGUGGAAAAUCUAUUCAAUCUGUAAAAUAUAAGGACAUUUCAAAGUUAGCUACCAUUUGAGAAGCAGAAUGUUUGCUUUUGUAGCAUUAUUUGCUAUGCGUUUUUCUGCCAUAGUCUCUUGUGGUGACUUAUAAACUGAGUGUGUGAUUUUAGACUGGAUUACAAACUGCUUUCCUUUUAUAUCCUGUAAUAUCACCUGACCAGUAUCAGUGGGUCACAGCUUAAUUAGCUUAACAUUGGAUACACUUUUCUCUGAAGCAGCUGCAUCAUUGUUGUGCUAAGUAGGGCAAAUGCACUAAGUAUAUUUACAAUUUGAUGAUUAAUUGUCUCCAAUAUGUAGGAACUCAGGUAAAACCAUGAAUGAAAAAUGCUUUCAUCAGUGAAUUUCUGCUUACAACAGUCAGUAUGCUUGUUCUCACUAAAACUUACCUUGCUAGAUUUGAUAUGACAUUUUUUCUGCCAUCAAGACACUUCUGAGUUACUUUCGAGGGUUUGUUUAUUGCUUGUUAGUUGUUUUUCAUGGCCUAGAAAGAGGCAUGUGCUCCAAAACAGCAACAUCUAAUGCAAAAUAAUCACAUACCAGAGCACUGCACUUACAGCUCACAGUUAACAGCAGAUCAUGUUUGAAUGAUCCUUAUUAGCCUGUACAGAAGUCUGAAGGGGAUAAACAUCUCCAGUUCAGCUUCUUACUGCACUUCUCAACACUUCAAUGAUGUCAUGGGAAUAGGAAAGAGAAGAAGGCAAAACUAGAGCUGUUCAAGGGAUUAGUCUUUUUCCAGAAGGCAGGGAAGGUUGAGGGUAGAACAACUUCUCCUUACCUUUUCAUUAUUUCUAGAAUAUCUGGUUAUGCAUGAGAUAAACUAGAGUGUUUCACAUAAAAGGUGAAAUUUAGUAAAUAGAAAAUAAAUUGUGCUUUUAAAUUAAUACUUGGGUUGAUGAAAACUCUGAAAAUCCUUACUCAGCUCUUGCCUGGCACUCCGUUCCUGUAGGUACACAAUGUAUAAUGGUCUGGGCAAGUGGUCAGUGCUGAGGGUAGGGAAUUUGCUGAAAGGCAGCACCCAUGGGGUGGUGACAAAUGGCUCCUUUUCAAAGUGGUAGCCUGUCACAAGUGGGGUCCCCAAGGGAUUGAUAUUGGGCUUAACAUUGCUUAAUAUCUUUAUAAGUGAUCUGGAAGAUGGGAUCAAGAGUACCAUUAUAAAGUUGUCCAUGGUCCCAAAGGAGAAGCCUCCCUGCAGGAAGAUCUGGAUUGUCUGGAAGAUUGGGCUGACACGAACCCUAUGAAGUUCAACAAGGACAAGUGUAAGGUGUUGCAUCUAAAAAACAUAAUCUAGGAUUGCAGAGCAGGCUGAAAUCUGCCUGGCUGAGAAGCAGCUUUAUGGAGAGGGACGUUGGGGUCCUGAUGGACAAUAAAUUCAGAAUGAGUGACCAGUGUGCAGCUGGGGCAGAGGAGGCCAGCAGGAGGUUGGGCUGCAUCGACCAGAACAUCUCCAGCAGAGAUCAAGAAGUCAUUAUCCCACUUUAUUCAACAUUUGCCUGGCCUGGAAUACUGUGUUCAGCUAUACAAAAAAGAUGUAGACUGGUAGGACAGUCUCCAAAAGGAGGCCAAAAAGAUGAGCAAAGAAGGGGGAAACCUGAUGUAUGGGGAAAGGCUGAGAGAACUGGGCUUUUUCAGCCUUGGAAAAAGGAGGCUUAUGGGAGACAUUUUCACCCUCUAGUAUUUAAAGAAUGGCAACAAAGAUCAGAUGCCUUUCUUACAAGGAUUCUUAUAGAAAAGGUGAGAGGUAAUGUGUAAAAGUAACUCUUGGGGAGAUUAUGAUUGGACACAAGAUGAAAAAUAUUUGCAAUGAGAAUAAUCUCUCCAGAGAAGUGGUUGAUUGACUGAUAUUGGACAUCUUUGGGAUUAGUCUGGACAGGAUGCUGGGUCAUCUUGUCUAGACUAUGCUUUUGACAAGAAAGGCUGCACCAGAUAAUCCUGGAGGUCCCUUCCAAAUUUGCAUUCAAUGUGUCUGUGACUAUAUGAUCACAUUUCUUUAAGUAUAGCCUUCUUGCCCUUAACUGUGCUUCUGUUUCUGUGAAGUGCCUCAAUAACUCUCUGUUUAUGUUACCAGGCAGCCUACGCUACCCAGCGUCCAAACACUGUUCUAUUUGGAACACAUUUUGCAGUUGUACUACACACACAGCACCUGUCCAAUGUCAAAGUCAAUAGAGAAGGUUAUUGUGCUCUUCUUCUGUGUAAUAAAUGUGGUAAUGAAAAUA